RNAcentral lists this ribosomal RNA (406 nucleotides) under uncultured bacterium. RNAcentral's name for it is "partial 16S ribosomal RNA". It matches the Rfam family "Bacterial small subunit ribosomal RNA", at positions 30 to 526 of the family's 1533-position model. The record is from RNAcentral.
AUUGAACGCUGGCGGCAGGCCUAACACAUGCAAGUCGAACGAGUGGCGGACGGGUGAGUAAUGUCUGGGAAACUGCCUGAUGGAGGGGGAUAACUACUGGAAACGGUAGCUAAUACCGCAUACCAUCAGAUGUGCCCAGAUGGGAUUAGCUUGUUGGGGGGGUAACGGCUCACCAAGGCGACGAUCCCUAGCUGGUCUGAGAGGAUGACCAGCCAAACUGGAACUGGAGCACCGGCCAGAAUCCUACGGGAGGCAGCAGGUGGGAAUAUUGCACAAUGGGGGCAAGCCUGAUGGAGCCAUGCCGCGUGUAUGAAGAAGGCCUUCGGGUUGUAAAGUACUUUCAGCGGGGAGGCGUUACCCGCAGAAGAAGCCCCGGCUAACUCCGUGCCAGCCGCCGCGGUAAUUC